This 409-nucleotide ribosomal RNA is filed under the name Actinomycetes bacterium. RNAcentral describes it as "Actinobacteria bacterium partial 16S ribosomal RNA". It matches the Rfam family "Bacterial small subunit ribosomal RNA", at positions 355 to 776 of the family's 1533-position model. The record is from RNAcentral. Lineage: Bacteria; Bacillati; Actinomycetota; Actinomycetes.
UGGGGAAUAUUGCACAAUGGGCGGAAGCCUGAUGCAGCGACGCCGCGUGGGGGAUGAAGGCCUUCGGGUUGUAAACUCCUUUCGACAGGGACGAAGCUUUUGUGACGGUACCUGUAUAAGAAGCACCGGCUAACUACGUGCCAGCAGCCGCGGUAAUACGUAGGGUGCGAGCGUUGUCCGGAAUUACUGGGCGUAAAGAGCUCGUAGGCGGUUUGUCGCGUCGUCUGUGAAAUUCCGGGGCUUAACUCCGGGCGUGCAGGCGAUACGGGCUGACUUGAGUGCUGUAGGGGAGACUGGAAUUCCUGGUGUAGCGGUGAAAUGCGCAGAUAUCAGGAGGAACACCGAUGGCGAAGGCAGGUCUCUGGGCAGUAACUGACGCUGAGGAGCGAAAGCAUGGGUAGCGAACAGG